UGGGGAAUUUUGGACAAUGGGGGAAACCCUGAUCCAGCCAUCCCGCGUGUGCGAUGAAGGCCUUCGGGUUGUAAAGCACUUUUGGCAGGAAAGAAACGUCGUGGGUUAAUACCCCGCGAAACUGACGGUACCUGCAGAAUAAGCACCGGCUAACUACGUGCCAGCAGCCGCGGUAAUACGUAGGGUGCAAGCGUUAAUCGGAAUUACUGGGCGUAAAGCGUGCGCAGGCGGUUCGGAAAGAAAGAUGUGAAAUCCCAGAGCUUAACUUUGGAACUGCAUUUUUAACUACCGGGCUAGAGUGUGUCAGAGGGAGGUGGAAUUCCGCGUGUAGCAGUGAAAUGCGUAGAUAUGCGGAGGAACACCGAUGGCGAAGGCAGCCCUCCCUGGGGAUAAACGCAUGCAUGCGCUCAUGCACGAAAGCGUGGGGGAGCAAACAGGAUUAGAUACCCUGGGUAGUCCAACGCCCUAAACGAUGUCAACUAGCUAGUUGGGGUCUUCGGACCUUGGUAGCNCAGCUAACGCGUGAAGUUGACCGCCUGGGGAGUACGGUCGGCAAGAUU
This 560-nucleotide ribosomal RNA is filed under the name uncultured bacterium. Its description in RNAcentral is "partial 16S ribosomal RNA". It matches the Rfam family "Bacterial small subunit ribosomal RNA", at positions 355 to 895 of the family's 1533-position model. The record is from RNAcentral.